CUUUAAAUGAGUCUUUUGAUAAUAAACAUGCUUGGUUACUAGGGUCACAUGGGCCCUUGUAUUAAAGGGGUGCCACUUGGCAUCCCCCUAUGGGUGGAGUGCCCGAUAAAGGUGAUUUAUCCUAUGAAGUAAUGUACUUUAUUGGCGUUGUAAUUAUGAUCAUUAGUUACUGUAGCCCAUGCUCGUCACUUGGGCCAAAGGAUAGCCUAGCCUAGCCCCGUGAAGGGAACAUUUGACAAUUUAGACUCACAUUGGGCGCUUGGUAUGAUCUAAACAACUUUCUUGCAUUCAGUCUAAAAUUGUGCAAUUAAUAUUCAAAAAUUUCCAAGCUUUAUGAGGGUUCAUAAUCGUUUGAGCAAAAAAUGAAAUCAAGUUCUGGUUCACUUGACAAAGUUAGUAUAACGAGAUACUGAUUAUUACUCAUAAGGUUGUAUUUUGAGAGUCCAUCUUGACUAUUAUGUUAGCAUUGGUGCAGGAUAUGAAAUUUAUCUUAACAAGAUUUGCUUCAACAUACCUCACUUGAUUUAUCGUUGUUUAAACUCCUAAAAUUUCUAUAGGAAUUCUAAUCGAUAUUCAAUGAACUCAACUACUAUUGGAUCGAAAUUUGAUCUUUAGGUAAAACUUGAGCCAAUAAGAUUUUUCAAAAUAUUGGAAACAAAUUAUAAUUUGCAAGUGAAUUAUGUUUGUCAUGAUUACCUAAAUGAAGGACUUAUUUUGGAAAUAAUAUUAAAAAUAAAAAUUCCAAAUAACAAUAUCCUUGUAUUCUUAUUGGCCUCAUUUAAGUGUCAUGUAAAGAUUUACCUAGAAGCAUGUCAUGGUCCAAAGUAACGUGACUUGAGGCUUGUCGUGAUCUUGGAAUGCCACGGAACAAAGUGGGAAAAUGAGGUAGACCUGUGGAAAAUUAGUCCAAGCUUUCGGCAUUAUAUGGCGAUGAGGGCGUCGUGUAAUUCGAUAGGGAAUGACUUAUGUUCUCCUAGAUCGCGGCCAUAACAAUCACCGCAAACGUGGUAGUUCAACAGGACAUAACUGCUUACGUUCGGGGGGACGCAGACAGGUCAUGUGGGCUGUGCAAGCAAAGAAAUCAAAUUUUGCCAAAUGAAAAACUAUCGUUUGAGGAGGAUAAGUACCAUGGAUUGCAGCUAGUUGUUUUGUACGCAAUUGGAUGCCAAUUUGUGCAACUUGCAUGAAGAAGACAAAUUCAACUUAACUGCUUCAAGCUUGAUGGAGGAAGCAAAGUUCAACUUGACUACCACUUGGUCAAGGGAGGAAGCAAAGUUCAACUCGGAUACUACUUCUACAAACGGAUAUACCAACUGCAUAGAGUUGACAAGGGACAUACAACUUGCACAUAUCAACUCGCAUAGAGGUGUAGAGAAUUGCAAAUUGCAAGGAAGCAAAGAUGACAUUGGCUAACACUUGUAUUAAGGAGGCUAAUUGCAACUUGCAUAAAGUGGAUGACAACAUUCAACCAAUAAUGACCCUUGGAUAAAUUAAAUCUUGGCCAUUGAUUCCAACUUGUUUUUAAAAGACUCUGCCUAUAAAUAAAGGUGUUGGAUUCAUUUGUAAAUUAUACAGAGUGUUGAGUAGCAAAGUAUAGAGAGAAAAUACUUAAGAGAUUGUAAAUGAUUUUCUCUUCCAUUUAUACAAAGAGAUUUUCCCAAAUUUAUGUGUGUUCCUUUUAAUAUAAUUUUUGUUUACAGUAUCUACUCAAAGCUAACAUAAUUUAGCUUCAUACAUUAUAUUAGCGUGGGUGACGUAUUCUCAUGAGGACAAGAUUUGUGAGAUGCUAAGUCCGUACGAUUUUAAUUUAUUUGAUAGUGACGAAACUAAGCCCGUGACAAAUUGCCAUGGAGGACUUUCUAUAUAGGGUACAUCUUUUCGCUGCCAAUUGAUGACAAAAUGGGUAAUAAAUUAUGAUGUUACUUCACCACUACCUUAAUAUCGCUUAUUACACAUAUAAAUGUAGUUCCCGAUUGAUUUUCAUUUUAUAAAUUUAUUUUUAAAGUUUAUUUUAAUCACACAUUUUAAAAUGGCACUCACAAUUUUUUUUUUCAACUUUUAAACCACACAUUUCAUUAAUUUUUACCAAUAUUUACUGAAAAAUUGAUUUUUAACCAAACCAAACAUGUGCAUAAGCAUAAUGUAUUGUGUUAUUAACUGUCAGCUACAACAUCACUUGAUCUUCAUUGCUAACAUUUUUUUACAUUCACACUGUUAAAUCUUAUGUUGCAUAUUUUUUUAUUGAUGGUCGAAAAUUUUGUCAACUUUCAUCAACCUUUGUAUACAAUAUUUCUCUUAAAAAAAUGAACAACUCAGUUAGCUUUGUAAGGUGGCCGAGCCGCGAAGCUGAGUACAGCACGAACUUCGAUGCAUAAAUCAAAAUUUUUAGACCCUCAAAAUAAAUUAAUUUCUUCCUUUUGAUUGCCUAAGUUUGCGGUGCACUUCUCAAGCCACUUAAGCUAUAACUCGGCCUCCCAAUAGUUCAAGAUGUUGAAAAUGUUAACUUUAUAAAAUUUGAAAUUUGAAAAUUUGAAAAUUUAAAUUCUUUUAUUGUCAAGAUCAUUCAUGUCAAAUCAUCAAGAGAAUUAUUAAAUGCG
This 2597-nucleotide long non-coding RNA is filed under the name Olea europaea subsp. europaea. Lineage: Eukaryota; Viridiplantae; Streptophyta; Magnoliopsida; Lamiales; Oleaceae. The record is from RNAcentral.